AUUGAACGCUGGCGGCAUGCUUUACACAUGCAAGUCGAACGGCAGCACGGGCUUCGGCCUGGUGGCGAGUGGCGAACGGGUGAGUAAUGCAUCGGAACGUGCCCAUGUUGUGGGGGAUAACUACGCGAAAGCGUGGCUAAUACCGCAUACGCCCUGAGGGGGAAAGCGGGGGAUUCUUCGGAACCUCGCGCAAUUGGAGCGGCCGAUGUCAGAUUAGCUUGUUGGUGAGGUAAAGGCUCACCAAGGCGACGAUCUGUAGCGGGUCUGAGAGGAUGAUCCGCCACACUGGGACUGAGACACGGCCCAGACUCCUACGGGAGGCAGCAGUGGGGAAUUUUGGACAAUGGGGGCAACCCUGAUCCAGCCAUGCCGCGUGAGUGAAGAAGGCCUUCGGGUUGUAAAGCUCUUUCAGCCGGGAAGAAAACGCACGCUCUAACAUAGCGUGUGGAUGACGGUACCGGACUAAGAAGCACCGGCUAACUACGUG
RNAcentral lists this ribosomal RNA (487 nucleotides) under uncultured bacterium. RNAcentral's name for it is "bacterial SSU rRNA". It matches the Rfam family "Bacterial small subunit ribosomal RNA", at positions 30 to 507 of the family's 1533-position model. The record is from RNAcentral.